This 536-nucleotide ribosomal RNA is filed under the name uncultured bacterium. Its description in RNAcentral is "bacterial SSU rRNA". It matches the Rfam family "Bacterial small subunit ribosomal RNA", at positions 336 to 862 of the family's 1533-position model. The record is from RNAcentral.
CUCCUACGGGAGGCAGCAGUGAGGAAUAUUGCGCAAUGGGGGCAACCCUGACGCAGCAACGCCGCGUGAGUGAGGAAGGUUUUCGGACCGUAAAGCUCUGUCGAGCGGGAAGAAAUGUAUCGUGGCUAAUAUCCAUGAUAUUUGACGGUACCGCUAAAGGAAGCACCGGCUAACUCCGUGCCAGCAGCCGCGGUAAUACGGGGGGUGCAAGCGUUGUUCGGAAUUAUUGGGCGUAAAGAGCGUGUAGGCGGCUGAAUAAGUCAGAUGUGAAAUCCCUGGGCUUAACCCAGGAAGUGCAUUUGAAACUAUUCAGCUUGAGUAGGGGAGAGGAAAGUGGAAUUCCUGGUGUAGAGGUGAAAUUCGUAGAUAUCAGGAGGAACACCGGUGGCGAAGGCGACUUUCUGGCCCUAUACUGACGCUGAGACGCGAGAGCGUGGGUAGCAAACAGGAUUAGAUACCCUGGUAGUCCACGCUGUAAACGAUGUUCACUAGGUGUUGGGGGUAUUGACCCUCUCAGUGCCGCAGCUAACGCAUUA